RNAcentral lists this ribosomal RNA (497 nucleotides) under uncultured bacterium. RNAcentral's name for it is "partial 16S ribosomal RNA". It matches the Rfam family "Bacterial small subunit ribosomal RNA", at positions 28 to 507 of the family's 1533-position model. The record is from RNAcentral.
GAUGAACGCUGGCGGCGUGCCUAAGAAAGGAAAGUGGAGAGAACAGACGAGGAGCUUGCUCCUCUGACGUUAGCGGCGGACGGGUGAGUAACACGUGGAUAACCUACCUAUAACACUGGGAUAACUUCGGGAAACCGGAGCUAAUACCGGAUAAUAUAUUGAACCGCAUGGUUCAAUAGUGAAAGACGGUUUUGCUGUCACUUAUAGAUGUAUCCGCGCCGCAUUAGCUAGUUGGUAAGGUAACGGCUUACCAAGGCAACGAUGCGUAGCCGACCUGAGAGGGUGAUCGGCCACACUGGAACUGAGACACGGUCCAGACUCCUACGGGAGGCAGCAGUAGGGAAUCUUCCGCAAUGGGCGAAAGCUUGACGGAGCAACGCCGCGUGAGUGAUGAAGGUCUUCGGAUCGUAAAACUCUGUUAUUAGGGAAGAACAAAUGUGUAAGUAACUAUGCACGUCUUGACGGUACCUAAUCAGAAAGCCACGGCUGACUACGUU